AGAUUUGGUGACAUGUCUCGCACAAGACUGUUACCACGGUUCAGAAGUUCCCCAACUUACUGAACCUUCGAAAAACCACCUCCCCAGGUGGUUUUUCGUUUU
Molecule: non-coding RNA, 102 nt
Filed under: Klebsiella pneumoniae
Lineage: Bacteria; Pseudomonadati; Pseudomonadota; Gammaproteobacteria; Enterobacterales; Enterobacteriaceae
Source: RNAcentral